Molecule: transfer RNA, 73 nt
Filed under: Spirochaetaceae bacterium
Lineage: Bacteria; Pseudomonadati; Spirochaetota; Spirochaetia; Spirochaetales; Spirochaetaceae
Description: tRNA-Thr
Rfam family: tRNA
About the family: Transfer RNA (tRNA) molecules are approximately 80 nucleotides in length. Their secondary structure includes four short double-helical elements and three loops (D, anti-codon, and T loops).
Source: RNAcentral
GCCCUUGUAGCUCAGUCGGUAGAGCACAUCCAUGGUAAGGAUGAGGUCUUCAGUUCGAUUCUGAACGGGGGCU